CAAGGAAUAUUGCCCAAUGGACGCAAGUCUGAGGCAGCAACGCCGCGUGAAGGACGAAGGCCUUCGGGUCGUAAACUUCUUUUAAGAGGGAAGAGAAAGGACGGUACCUCUUGAAUAAGCUUCGGCUAACUACGUGCCAGCAGCCGCGGUAAUACGAAGGGUGCAAGCGUUACUCGGAAUUACUGGGCGUAAAGCGUGCGUAGGUGGUUCGUUAAGUCUGAUGUGAAAGCCCUGGGCUCAACCUGGGAAUGGCAUUGGAUACUGGCGAUCUAGAGUGCGGUAGAGGGGUGUGGAAUUCCCGGUGUAGCAGUGAAAUGCGUAGAUAUCGGGAGGAACAUCUGUGGCGAAGGCGACACCCUGGACCAGCACUGACACUGAGGCACGAAAGCGUGGGGAGCAAACAGGAUUAGAUACCCUGGUAGUCCACGCCCUAAACGAUGCGAACUGGAUGUUGGGUGCAACUUGGCACUCAGUAUCGAAGCUAACGCGUUAAGUUCGCCGCCUGGGAAGUACGGUCGCAAGACUGC
This 527-nucleotide ribosomal RNA is filed under the name uncultured Lysobacter sp. RNAcentral's name for it is "bacterial SSU rRNA". It matches the Rfam family "Bacterial small subunit ribosomal RNA", at positions 355 to 897 of the family's 1533-position model. The record is from RNAcentral. Lineage: Bacteria; Pseudomonadati; Pseudomonadota; Gammaproteobacteria; Lysobacterales; Lysobacteraceae.